AAGAGCUUAACAGGACUUCUGCGGGCGGACUGCUGAGUUCUAUCACACAAGGAGCCAAUGAGAUUGCAUCUUCAGUGCGUGCUAGUAUAAUAAGUCAAAGCAAGAAAUACAAACACAGUAAUGAGAAACAAGGGAAUGGGACCUCUGCAGAGACAAGCAAUGGUGAUGCUACUGAGGACACAACUGCUGAAAGCAUUGCUGGGAAUGGGACCUAUGCAGAGACAAGCAAUGGUGAUGCUACUGGGAACACAACUGCUGAAAGCACUGCUGAUAGUCAUCAAGUAAAUGGUAAUUGUAGAAUAGAGGAAAAUUGCAAUGGCUGUGUAAACAGAGAGGGUGUGGAUCAGCA
This 349-nucleotide long non-coding RNA is filed under the name Nicotiana benthamiana. RNAcentral describes it as "long non-coding RNA (NBEN_LNC041296)". Lineage: Eukaryota; Viridiplantae; Streptophyta; Magnoliopsida; Solanales; Solanaceae. The record is from RNAcentral.